UGCCCUAGUAACGGCGAGUGAAGCGGCAACAGCUCAAAUUUGAAAUCUGAUCUCUUCGAGGUCCGAGUUGUAAUUUGUAGAGGGCGCUUUGGUGUUGGCUGCGGUCUAAGUUCCUUGGAACAGGACGUCAUAGAGGGUGAGAAUCCCGUCUGUGGUCGCAUGUCUUCACCGUGUAAAGCCCCUUCGACGAGUCGAGUUGUUUGGGAAUGCAGCUCUAAAUGGGAGGUAAAUUUCUUCUAAAGCUAAAUACUGGCCAGAGACCGAUAGCGCACAAGUAGAGUGAUCGAAAGAUGAAAAGCACUUUGGAAAGAGAGUCAAACAGCACGUGAAAUUGUUGAAAGGGAAGCGCUUGCAGCCAGACUUGCUUGCAGUUGCUCAUCCGGGCGUUCGCCCGGUGCACUCUUCUGUAGGCAGGCCAGCAUCAGUUUGGGCGGUUGGAUAAAGGCCUCUGUCAUGUAUCUUCUCCGGAAGACCUUAUAGGGGAGGCGUAAUGCAACCAGCCUGGACUGAGGUCCGCGCAUCUGCUAGGAUGCUGGCGUAAUGGCUGUAAGCGGCCCGUCUUGAAACACGGACCAAGGAGUCUAACAUCUAUGCGAGUGUUUGGGUGUCAAGCCCGAGCGCGUAAUGAAAGUGAACGGAGGUGGGAACCCUUGGGUGCACCAUCGACCGAUCCUGAUGUCUUCGGAUGGAUUUGAGUAAGAGCAUAGCUGUUGGGACCCGAAAGAUGGUGAACUAUGCUUGAAUAGGGUGAAGCCAGAGGAAACUCUGGUGGAGGCUCGCAGCGGUUCUGACGUGCAAAUCGAUCGUCAAAUUUGGGCAUAGGGGCGAAAGACUAA
This 836-nucleotide ribosomal RNA is filed under the name Acrocalymma fici. RNAcentral describes it as "eukaryotic LSU rRNA". It matches the Rfam family "Eukaryotic large subunit ribosomal RNA", at positions 76 to 934 of the family's 3401-position model. The record is from RNAcentral. Lineage: Eukaryota; Fungi; Ascomycota; Dothideomycetes; Pleosporales; Acrocalymmaceae.